CCAACCGCAUUCAAUUGGUCUGCAAGAGUGCGUCUUGGAGGAGUUCUUUCAGCCAUCUCCUAUGUUCUUCUAUCUGGUGAAGGUGAUAGUAAUCUUUCAGGGGAAGGAAACAAAUCCCUAGAUAGGCGUCUGACUCUCCUUCUCCCCCUUGCCUCGCUUAAGCCUUCAAGAAGAGGUUGUGUAUUUUUCUUGCUUCUAGUAUGUCUGGGCUCCUGUUGCA
Molecule: long non-coding RNA, 220 nt
Filed under: Vigna radiata
Lineage: Eukaryota; Viridiplantae; Streptophyta; Magnoliopsida; Fabales; Fabaceae
Description: long non-coding RNA (VRAD_LNC013401)
Source: RNAcentral